AGAGUUUGAUCCUGGCUCAGGACGAACGCUGGCGGCAUGCCUAAUACAUGCAAGUCGAACGCUUUGAUUUCACCGGGUGCUUGCACCCACCGAAGUCAAGGAGUGGCGGACGGGUGAGUAACACGUGGGUAACCUGCCCAUAAGUGGGGGAUAACAUUCGGAAACGGAUGCUAAUACCGCAUAUUUCUAAUCGCCUCCUGGCGAACUGAAAAAAGGUGGCUUCGGCUACCGCUUAUGGAUGGACCCGCGACGUAUUAGCUAGUUGGUGAGGUAAUGGCUCACCAAGGCGAUGAUACGUAGCCGACCUGAGAGGGUGAUCGGCCACACUGGGACUGAGACACGGCCCAGACUCCUACGGGAGGCAGCAGUAGGGAAUCUUCCGCAAUGGACGAAAGUCUGACGGAGCAAUGCCGCGUGAGUGAAGAAGGUUUUCGGAUCGUAAAACUCUGUUGUUAGAGAAGAACAAGGAUGAGAGUAACUGCUCAUCCCCUGACGGUAUCUAACCAGAAAGCCACGGCUAACUACGUGCCAACAGCCGCGGUAAUACGUAGGUGGCAAGCGUUGUCCGGAUUUAUUGGGCGUAAAGCGAGCGCAGGCGGUUCUUUAAGUCUGAUGUGAAAGCCCCCGGCUCAACCGGGGAGGGUCAUUGGAAACUGGAGAACUUGAGUGCAGAAGAGGAGAGUGGAAUUCCACGUGUAGCGGUGAAAUGCGUAGAUAUGUGGAGGAACACCAGUGGCGAAGGCGACUCUCUGGUCUGUAACUGACGCUGAUGCUCGAAAGCGUGUGGAGCAAACAGGAUUAGAUACCCUGGUAGUCCACGUCGUAAA
Molecule: ribosomal RNA, 827 nt
Filed under: uncultured Carnobacterium sp.
Lineage: Bacteria; Bacillati; Bacillota; Bacilli; Lactobacillales; Carnobacteriaceae
Description: bacterial SSU rRNA
Rfam family: Bacterial small subunit ribosomal RNA
Source: RNAcentral